AAACUUUUUGGCCUUGCAAAAAUAUGUUGGGCCUUGAACAAUAGUCUUGAUCCAAUAAGGAAAAAGAUGAAACCCUAAACACUCUAACCUUCUUCCUUCUCCUACGCCGUCUCAAACAUCUGCGAUUUUCUUUCUUCUCACCAUCGUUUCUCCUUGCUUCUCACCAUCGUUUCUCCUUGCUUCUCUUCUCAGCCCUAAGCUUCUGUUCGCCACCAGCUCAAUCGACAAGAAGUGAGGAUCUACUUCUUCUCAACUACUGCAUCGAAGGCGGGUCCACGUUUCCUCUACAAUAUAUUGCAUUCAGCACAGUAACGUGCAGCUCACAGCAGCUUUCCAAAUGUCAAACCGGAACCAAUUUGAGCAAAGAAGGAGAGAAGAGUUCUCUCGGACUCCUGUACCACCUCUCCAUUUAUCAAUACAAUCACACAAAUUAGAAACCCUUGCUGCUAACCUCUUGGAGACUUUACCGUCGCCGUUGAAAGAGAUUAACUCGCCACCGUCACCAACUCAGCAUUUUCACGAAAUCAAUCUGAGAUGGCGUCUUCUAAUUAUCCACCAUCCGCUUGUGAUACUGAAAUCAAUGGAACUGAUGAAGAUAUUCCCACUCCUACUUAUAAAAAUAAGGGAAAGAGAAAAGAGAACGCCAGUGAUGAAGAUGCAGAAGGUACUAGUGCUAAGAAGAUGAAGACAAGGUCAUGGGUUUGGGAUCACUUCACCAAAAUGGGGAAAAAAAAAGAGAAGUGCAAACGCCACUAUUGUGGGAGACACUUGGCUUGUCCUAGUAACAAUGGCACUUCUUCAAUGAGGAAGCAUCUACAAUUGUUAUGUAAAGAAUAAAAUGUAUGGCAAAAUGCUCAUAAUAAGGAUACUCAAACUGUUUUGUCUCCUGCUGGUGCUGGCGGUAGUACUAGAGUUAGGAAGGUUUCACAAGCAAUAGUUGGAGAAUCUACUAAUGAGUUCAUGAUUCUUGCGGAAUUACCAUUAUCUUUCGUAUAUUUCUUAGCUUGGAGACAUUUAUGUUCCAAAGUUCAACUGUAUAAGCCUCAUUCUAGGAGAACAGCCACAAGAAAUAUGUGGAGCUUUAUGUUAAUAAGAAAGCUUCUAUGAAGAAGAUUCUUGGGCAGAACAAGCAAAGGUUGUCAUUGACUAUAGACAUAUGGGUCUCAACCACUACUGGAGCCAGCUAUAUGGUAAUAACAGCUCAUUUUGUUGAUGUUAUGUGGAAGUUAAGGAAGAUGGUAAUAGGAUUCAAGAACUUUUCUGAUCAUAAGGGUGAGACAAUAUGUAAUGUUCUACUUGAGUGUCUAGCUGAGUGGGAUUUAAAGAGAGUGUUAUGCAUUAAUGUGGAUAACGCUACAGCAAAUAGUUCUGCUAUGGUUAAAUUUAAGAAAGCAUUGAAGCAAAUCUCAGAUGAUGCAUUGAUACUGAAAGGUGAAUAUAUGCAUUUAAGGUGUGCUACUCACGUAUUGAAUUUGAUUUUCAGAGAAGGUAGAUUACGGCGUGGCUGCUUUAGAUGUCAAAACAAGAUGGAACUCUACUUAUCUCAUGUUAGAACAAGCUAUGAAGUUUAGAUUGGCAUUUGAAAGGAUGUAGGCUGAAGAUAAAGUGUAUAAUGAUUGUUUUCAGGAAAAGGUGGAUGAAAAGAAAAGAGCCGGACCACCUAUGCCAAAUGAUUGGGAUGAAGUUGACAGGAUCUUACAAGAUUUGUAUGAUGAGUACAGCAGAAACAGUUUAUUGAACAAGAAUAGUAGUGGUGGGUUAUUUUUCUCAUAAUCAAGCACAAGGACCGUUGUCACAGUUCCAAGAGCAAGUUCCACCUGAUUUUUGUGUGAGAACAGGUAUAGUUGAUAUGGAAAACAUAUUUGAUGAGAUUGUGAUGGAAACAUGGAUUCACAAUUCUUCUAAUGAGUUGGAGAUAUACUUAACGGAUAAGGUGGAGAAACCAAGUAUUCUAAAAGGUGCAGAAUACGAUUUGUUAUCUUGGUGGAAGGUCAACAGUGGGAAGUAUACGGCUCUAUCAGUAAUAGCUAAAGAUAUACUUGAAAUGCAAGUGUCUUCCGUGGCUUCAGAAUCUGCUUUUAGCAUUGUGGUAGAAUUUUAGAUCCUUAUAGGAGUUGUUUGACACACUAUAUGAUUGAAGUGUUGAUCUGCACUGAGCAAUGGCUAAAAUCAGAAAUUCACAUCAAUGAGAAAGGAGUCUCUGCAAUACAACAUUUGCUUUCAGAAGUUGAGUACGAUGAUGAACUUAUGAGAGAGUUUGAACCUGAAUUCACACAUUUGGACAGCUAAUCUUGAGAAUGAGACAAAGAUGGUCUUUAAUCUUUAUACCAAGUUAGCAAGUCACAACUCUCAAAGUUUAGUUUAAGCAUCGAGACUCUACAUUUUACCACUGUUUAAACUUUA
This is a long non-coding RNA of Capsella rubella, 2403 nucleotides long. RefSeq lists it as uncharacterized. The record is from RefSeq and is a predicted model, not a curated record. The transcript has 6 exons. Lineage: Eukaryota; Viridiplantae; Streptophyta; Magnoliopsida; Brassicales; Brassicaceae.